GGACUACCCGGGUUUCUAAUCCUGUUUGCUCCCCACGCUUUCGCGCCUCAGCGUCAGAACCGGACCAGACAGCCGCCUUCGCCACUGGUGUUCUUGCGAAUAUCUACGAAUUUCACCUCUACACUCGCAGUUCCGCUGUCCUCUUCCGGUCUCAAGCCAACCAGUAUCGAAGGCAAUUCUGUGGUUGAGCCACAGGCUUUCACCCCCGACUUAAUCGGCCGCCUACGCGCCCUUUACGCCCAGUGAUUCCGAGCAACGCUAGCCCCCUUCGUAUUACCGCGGCGGCUGGCACC
Molecule: unclassified non-coding RNA, 293 nt
Filed under: uncultured fungus
Lineage: Eukaryota; Fungi
Description: sequence contains ITS1
Source: RNAcentral